Gorilla gorilla gorilla (western lowland gorilla) is the source of this 588-nucleotide long non-coding RNA. RefSeq lists it as uncharacterized. NCBI's taxonomy places the organism in Eukaryota, Metazoa, Chordata, Mammalia, Primates, Hominidae. The record is from RefSeq and is a predicted model, not a curated record. The transcript is spliced from 5 exons.
CCUGCAUUCCAAGGCACACGCCAGGAUCCAGGUGUCCUUCACAGGUAUGGCAUAAACAUCAGGGUUAGCCAUUACUGGAACACUAAACAAACAUUCAUCAAGGAACACAGGAUCAUUCUCAAGCGUUCUAGAACACAACUACUAACUAGCUCGGCCUGGUACCACGGAUUUGUGCUACGGCACCAGGAGAGCAAAAUCAACACAGAAAAAAGCAAGAAAACUCAGAGAAAAAAUAAAUCUACAAUGAACACAUCAGUAUGUAUAUUUCUACAAACUUGUGUGAGAAGUUCUGUAAGAUCAAGUCCUAAAAGCAGAAUUGCUGGCUCAAAGGAUAUGAGUAACAUCAGCUGACUUGAAGUUAAGAAGAUGGGCCUCCAUAAUCAGGGUGGGCCUCAUCCAAUCAGUAAAAGGCCCUAAGUGCGAAACUAAGGCUUCCCUGAAGAAGAAAUGUCCACCUAACAGACAGACCCCUGUGGAUUUCAGACUUGCCUAGCCAGCCCCAGCAAUUAUAUGAGAAAAAAAGGAAAUCACUAAGAAGUUAUGAAAUUUUCCUAUGUCAAGCAGUAAAACAGCCAACCAGAAUCUGAA